RNAcentral lists this ribosomal RNA (414 nucleotides) under uncultured prokaryote. Its description in RNAcentral is "bacterial SSU rRNA". It matches the Rfam family "Bacterial small subunit ribosomal RNA", at positions 505 to 918 of the family's 1533-position model. The record is from RNAcentral.
GUGUCAGCCGCCGCGGUAACACGUAUGGGGCGAGCGUUGUUCGGAAUUACUGGGCGUAAAGGGCGUGUAGGCGGUUCGAAAAGCCUGGCGUGAAAGUCAUCGGCCCAACCGAUGGACGGCGCUGGGAACUGCCGGACUGGAGUCAUGGAGGGGGAGCUGGAAUUCCAGGUGUAGGGGUGAAAUCUGUAGAGAUCUGGAAGAACACCGGUGGCGAAGGCGAGCUCCUGGCCAAUGACUGACGCUGAGGCGCGAAAGCGUGGGGAGCAAACAGGAUUAGAUACCCUGGUAGUCCACGCUGUAAACGAUGUGCACUAGGUGUUGGUGUCAUACAGGCAUCGGUGCCGUAGCUAAGGCGUUAAGUGCACCGCCUGGGGAGUAUGCUCGCAAGGGUGAAACUCAAAUGAAUUGACGGGG